GUGGUUGGUGGUGGGCGUGCUCAGGGACGGCGGGCAGCGUGGCGACGGGCUCGGGGACGGCGGGGGACGGCGUGGAGGAGGUCAGUGGAGGACACUGGCCAGCUUGGGGACAGCACGGAGGAGGUCAGUGGAGGACGGCGGCAGAUGGCGUGGAGGAGGUAUGCCCGGAUCUAUACCAUACUAGUGACUUCAUCUGCCACCAUGGAAACCACUCAACAUUCAGCUCGCUCAAAUAUCAGGUACCAAUAA
This 249-nucleotide long non-coding RNA is filed under the name Oryza sativa Indica Group (long-grained rice). RNAcentral's name for it is "lncRNA OsGoSa_12g0011920". Lineage: Eukaryota; Viridiplantae; Streptophyta; Magnoliopsida; Poales; Poaceae. The record is from RNAcentral.